Molecule: long non-coding RNA, 223 nt
Filed under: Manihot esculenta (cassava)
Lineage: Eukaryota; Viridiplantae; Streptophyta; Magnoliopsida; Malpighiales; Euphorbiaceae
Description: long non-coding RNA (MESC_LNC003617)
Source: RNAcentral
UUUUCCCUCGAAAUAAAAAUCCUAAUCUACUUUUUCUAUUCUUCAAAUUGGGUGGGUGAGAAAAUACCUACUGGGUCUGAAAGCCCUUUUCGUAAAAAAAUUUCAUUUAUUUAUUUUCAAUAUUAUCAAACUUAUGCUUACGAAUGACCGAGCAAAAGCAGGAAAGGAAACCCAAUUGAAUGAGAGAGAGCGUGUUUGUGUUAUUUAAUCUGUUUAGUCGCAG